GGAGAGGUGUCUGAGUGGUCGAAAGAGCUUGAUUCGAAAUCAAGUGUACGGUUCUCCCGUACCGUGGGUUCGAAUCCCACCCUCUCCGCCA
Molecule: transfer RNA, 91 nt
Filed under: Gammaproteobacteria bacterium
Lineage: Bacteria; Pseudomonadati; Pseudomonadota; Gammaproteobacteria
Also listed under: 2 other names
Description: tRNA-Ser
Rfam family: tRNA
About the family: Transfer RNA (tRNA) molecules are approximately 80 nucleotides in length. Their secondary structure includes four short double-helical elements and three loops (D, anti-codon, and T loops).
Source: RNAcentral